GACGGAGGGGGCUAGCGUUGUUCGGAAUUACUGGGCGUAAAGGGCGCGUAGGCGGCAAAUCAAGUUAGGCGUGAAAUCCCCGGGCUUAACCCGGGAACUGCGUUUAAUACUGAUUAGCUAGAGAUCGGUAGAGGAAAGUGGAAUUCCUAGUGUAGAGGUGAAAUUCGUAGAUAUUAGGAAGAACACCAGAGGCGAAGGCGACUUUCUGGGCCGAUACUGACGCUGAGGCGCGAAAGCGUGGGGAGCAAACAGG
Molecule: unclassified non-coding RNA, 253 nt
Filed under: uncultured Alphaproteobacteria bacterium
Lineage: Bacteria; Pseudomonadati; Pseudomonadota; Alphaproteobacteria
Description: contains 16S-23S intergenic spacer region
Rfam family: Bacterial small subunit ribosomal RNA
Source: RNAcentral